GACGAACGCUGGCGGCGUGCUUAACACAUGCAAGUCGAACGGAAAGGCCCUGCUUUUGUGGGGUGCUCGAGUGGCAAACGGAUGAGUCACCCGUGAGUAACCGGCCCUCGGCUGUGGGCUACCUCCAGUACACUGUGGCCAGUACCGGAUAGGGGCUCCUGCUCCAUGGGGGGGGUUGGAAUGUUUUGGCGGUUUGGGAUGGGCUCGAGGCUUAUCAGUCUGUUGGUGGGGUAGUGACCUACCAAGGGAUUGACGGGUAGCCGGCCUGAGAGGGUGACCGGCCACAUUGGGAGGAAGAUGAGGCCGAGAAGACUACGGGAGGAAGCAGCGGGGAAGAAUGCACCAUGAGCGGAGGACUGAUGCAGCAGCACCGCGUGGUGGAGGUCGGACGUCGGGGGGUAAACCGCUGUCGCCUGUGAAGAAGAGGGAGUGACGGUAAUGGGUGAAGAAGCACCGGCUAACUACGUG
RNAcentral lists this ribosomal RNA (468 nucleotides) under uncultured bacterium. RNAcentral's name for it is "partial 16S ribosomal RNA". It matches the Rfam family "Bacterial small subunit ribosomal RNA", at positions 28 to 507 of the family's 1533-position model. The record is from RNAcentral.